This 392-nucleotide ribosomal RNA is filed under the name Cercozoa sp. RNAcentral's name for it is "SSU rRNA". It matches the Rfam family "Eukaryotic small subunit ribosomal RNA", at positions 585 to 972 of the family's 1831-position model. The record is from RNAcentral. RNAcentral also lists the same sequence under 1 other name. Lineage: Eukaryota; Cercozoa.
CCAGCUCCAAUAGCGUAUAUUAAAGUUGUUGCAGUUAAAAAGCUCGUAGUUGGAUUUCUGACGUGGAGCUGUCGGCCCGGCACCUUCGGGUGUUGUGUUGUCGACAUAUCCUGUCAUCUUUUCGGUUGCCUUAUUAUGCUCUUAACUGGGUGUAGUAAUGGUGCCGAUCUUUUACUUUGAAAAAAUUAGAGUGUUCAAAGCAGGCUUAUUGCUGUUGAAUACAUUAGCAUGGAAUAAUAAUAUAGGACUUCUGUCUUAUUUUGUUGGUUUCUAAGAUGGAAGUAAUGAUUGAUAGGGAUAGUUGGGGGUGCUCGUAUUCAGCGGCCAGAGGUGAAAUUCUAUGAUUCGCUGAAGACGAACUUAUGCGAAAGCAUUCACCAAGGAUGUCUUCU